AGUGGUAUAGCAAUUACAGACUCACUGAAAUUUAUAUAAAUAUGAAGUAGGCUUACCUCAGGGGAAUAUAUAGAGGCAACUGUAAAGGUUCCCAUGGCAUUCAUGCGAGCUCCAAAUAAUAAGCAAGUAGUUAACACAGCAGGCUGCUGGAUUAGCAGUGGUGUGAGGAAAAUAAAUGCUAAGCCGAACAUAAUUGCCAUCGAAUGCUUGCGGCCAACCCUAUCAACCAAUAUUGCUGACAGAAGAAGCCCAGGUAGCUCUGCAGCAUAAACCAAGUUUAAUUUUUUUUUUAAGAAAAAGAAGGAAGAGCAUAAAGAAGGAAGUGAGAAUGAGACAUAAUACCUGCCAUACUGGUGAUGAAUGCAUUUAGGUAGAGACCAUCAUCCUGGGGAUUUAUAUUGCUUUGGAGAGAUGGGAAACAUGUACUUUGUCCACUACUUAGCUUAGAGGUAAGCAAUAUGAUACCAUAAUAUGAAAAUGAAUCUCCAAAGAAUAAUACCCAUAGGAGCAGCGUUGUUCUAAUUAAUUUUGAAGAGAAAAGCAUAAAAAAUGAUGAGAAGCCUGAUUUUGAUUGUGUGGUACUUUUACUGAGU
RNAcentral lists this long non-coding RNA (593 nucleotides) under Gossypium raimondii (Peruvian cotton). RNAcentral's name for it is "long non-coding RNA (GRAI_LNC002689)". The record is from RNAcentral. Lineage: Eukaryota; Viridiplantae; Streptophyta; Magnoliopsida; Malvales; Malvaceae.